AGGAUGAACGCUGGCGGCGUGCCUAAUACAUGCAAGUCGAGCGGUAACAGGAGAAGCUUGCUUCUCGCUGACGAGCGGCGGACGGCUGAGUAACACGUAGGAACGUACCCCAAAGUGAGGGAUAAGCACCAGAAAUGGUGUCUAAUACCGCAUGUGCUCUAUGGAGUAAAGCUUCGGCGCUUUGGGAACGGCCUGCGUCUGAUUAGCUAGUUGGUGAGGUAAUGGCUCACCAAGGCGACGAUCAGUAGCUGGUCUGAGAGGAUGAUCAGCCAGACUGGGACUGAGACACGGCCCAGACUCCUACGGGAGGCAGCAGUAGGGAAUUUUCCACAAUGGGCGAAAGCCUGAUGGAGCAACGCCGCGUGCAGGAUGAAGGCCCUCGGGUCGUAAACUGCUUUUCUCUGUGACGAAUAUGACGGUAGCAGAAGAAUAAGGAUCGGCUAACUCCGUGCCAGCAGCCGCGGUAA
RNAcentral lists this ribosomal RNA (467 nucleotides) under uncultured bacterium. RNAcentral's name for it is "SSU rRNA". It matches the Rfam family "Bacterial small subunit ribosomal RNA", at positions 26 to 523 of the family's 1533-position model. The record is from RNAcentral.